UUGACCUCGAAUCAGGUAGGAAUACCCGCUGAACUUAAGCAUAUCAAUAAGCGGAGGAAAAGAAACCAACAGGGAUUGCCUCAGUAACGGCGAGUGAAGCGGCAACAGCUCAAAUUUGAAAUCUGGCCCCCCGGCCCGAGUUGUAAUUUGCAGAGGAUGCUUCGGGCGCGGUGCCUUCCAAGUCCCCUGGAACGGGGCGCCGGAGAGGGUGAGAGCCCCGUACGGUUGGCGGCCAAGCCUGUGUGAAGCUCCUUCGACGAGUCGAGUAGUUUGGGAAUGCUGCUCUAAGCGGGAGGUAGACCCCUUCUAAAGCUAAAUAUAGGCCAGAGACCGAUAGCGCACAAGUAGAGUGAUCGAAAGAUGAAAAGCACUUUGAAAAGAGGGUUAAACAGCACGUGAAAUUGUUGAAAGGGAAGCGCUUGCGACCAGACGUGCGCCGGGGUGCUCAGCGGGCGUUCUCGCCCGUGCACUCGCCCCGGCGCAGGCCAGCGUCGGUUCGCGUGGGAGGAUAAAGGCGCCUGGAAUGUGGCUCCCUCGGGAGUGUUAUAGCCAGGCGUGCCAUGCUCCCCUGCGGACCGAGGUACGCGUUCUGCAAGGACGCUGGCGUAAUGGUCCCCAGCGACCCGUCUUGAAACACGGACCAAGGAGUCGAGGUUUUGCGCGAGUGUUUGGGUGUUAAACCCGCACGCGUAAUGAAAGUGAACGUAGGUGGGAGCUUCGGCGCACCACCGACCGAUCCUGAUGUUCUCGGAUGGAUUUGAGUAAGAGCGUAGGGCCUCGGACCCGAAAGAUGGUGAACUAUGCUUGGAUAGGGUGAAGCCAGAGGAAACUCUGGUGGAGGCUCGCAGCGGUUCUGACGUGCAAAUCGAUCGUCAAAUCUGAGCAUGGGGGCGAAAGACUAAUCGAACCAUCUAGUAGCUGGUUACCGCCGAAGUUUCCCUCAGGAUAGCAGUGUUGUUCUUCAGUUUUAUGAGGUAAAGCGAAUGAUUAGGGACUCGGGGGCGCUAUUUAGCCUUCAUCCAUUCUCAAACUUUAAAUAUGUAAGAAGCCCUUGUUGCUUAAUUGAACGUGGGCAUUCGAAUGCAUCAACACUAGUGGGCCAUUUUUGGUAAGCAGAACUGGCGAUGUGGGAUGAACCAUACGGGGGGUUAAGGUGCCAGAGUAGACGCUCAUCAGACACCACAAAAGGCGUUAGCACAUCUUGACAGCAGGACGGUGGCCAUGGAAGUCGGAAUCCGCUAAGGACUGUGUAACAACUCACCUGCCGAAUGUGCUAGCCCUGAAAAUGGAUGGCGCUCAAGCGUCUCACCCAUACCCCCCCCUCAGGGUAGAAACGAUGCCCUGAGGAGUAGGCGGCCGCAGUGCUGUGUGACGAAGGCUAGGGCGUGAGCCCGGCUCGAACCGGCGCUGGUGCGGAUCUUGGUGGUAGUAGCAAAUACUUCAAUGAGAACUUGAAGGACC
This 1461-nucleotide ribosomal RNA is filed under the name Chloridium humicola. Its description in RNAcentral is "partial large subunit ribosomal RNA". It matches the Rfam family "Eukaryotic large subunit ribosomal RNA", at positions 1 to 1492 of the family's 3401-position model. Lineage: Eukaryota; Fungi; Ascomycota; Sordariomycetes; Chaetosphaeriales; Chaetosphaeriaceae. The record is from RNAcentral.